AUGGCUCAGGAUGAACGCUAGCUACAGGCUUAACACAUGCAAGUCGAGGGGCAGCAUGUGGUUGCUGCAACCAAUGAUGGCGACCGGCGCACGGGUGAGUAACGCGUAUCCAACCUUCCCCUUAGUAGAGGAUAGCCCGGCGAAAGUCGGAUUAAUACUCUAUGUUCUUCAAUGCGGACAUCUAAGUUGAAGCAAAGAUUUAUCGCUAAGGGAUGGGGAUGCGUCUGAUUAGGUUGCAGGCGGGGUAACGGCCCACCUGGCCUACGAUCAGUAGGGGUUCUGAGAGGAAGGUCCCCCACACUGGUACUGAGACACGGACCAGACUCCUACGGGAGGCAGCAGUGAGGAAUAUUGGUCAAUGGGCGCGAGCCUGAACCAGCCAAGUAGCGUGCCAGGACGACUGCCCUAUGGGUUGUAAACUGCUUUUGUCAGGGAAUAAAGUGAGGCACGCGUGCCUUUUUGUAUGUACCUGAUGAAUAAGGACCGGCUAAUUCCGUGCCAGCCGCCGC
RNAcentral lists this ribosomal RNA (509 nucleotides) under uncultured bacterium. RNAcentral's name for it is "bacterial SSU rRNA". It matches the Rfam family "Bacterial small subunit ribosomal RNA", at positions 19 to 518 of the family's 1533-position model. The record is from RNAcentral.